CGACCUUCAGUUCUACAUCCUUGACUGUUUUAGAAACUACAUGAUUCUUUAUACCUUGCUCAAAAUCUCUGCUUCUAAUCAACUCCUCAUCAGCUUCAUGCUUUACUGGCUUUAGGUCCUCAGCAGUUUCAUGCUUUACUGGCUUUAGGUCCUCAGCAGCAUCAUGCUUCACAGGGUUCAAUUCCUCAGCAGCUUCAUGCCUUACAGGCUUCAAGUCCUCAGAAGCAACUACUUUGGUUUCCCUCAAAUCGUCAGUACC
This 259-nucleotide long non-coding RNA is filed under the name Daucus carota (carrot). RNAcentral describes it as "long non-coding RNA (DCAR_LNC000651)". The record is from RNAcentral. Lineage: Eukaryota; Viridiplantae; Streptophyta; Magnoliopsida; Apiales; Apiaceae.